GUAGUUUGACGUCCGUGGCACAGGACGACGCUGGCGGCGUGCUUAACACAUGCAAGUCGAACGCUGAAGCCGUCUUCGGGCGGUGGAUGAGUGGCGAACGGGUGAGUAACACGUGGGUAAUCUGCCCUGUACUCUGGGAUAAGCCUGGGAAACUGGGUCUAAUACCGGAUAGGACACGCUAACCGCAUGGUGGUGUGUGGAAAGCCUCGGCGGUACAGGAUGAGCCCGCGGCCUAUCAGCUAGUUGGUGGGGUGAUGGCCUACCAAGGCGACGACGGGUAGCCGGCCUGAGAGGGUGACCGGCCACACUGGGACUGAGACACGGCCCAGACUCCUACGGGAGGCAGCAGUGGGGAAUAUUGCACAAUGGGCGGAAGCCUGAUGCAGCGACGCCGCGUGGGGGAUGACGGCCUUCGGGUUGUAAACCCCUUUCGCCCGGGACGAAGCGAGAGUGACGGUACCGGGAGAAGAAGCACCGGCCAACUACGUG
This 489-nucleotide ribosomal RNA is filed under the name uncultured Saccharomonospora sp. Its description in RNAcentral is "bacterial SSU rRNA". It matches the Rfam family "Bacterial small subunit ribosomal RNA", at positions 1 to 507 of the family's 1533-position model. Lineage: Bacteria; Bacillati; Actinomycetota; Actinomycetes; Pseudonocardiales; Pseudonocardiaceae. The record is from RNAcentral.